This 1047-nucleotide ribosomal RNA is filed under the name fungal sp. Its description in RNAcentral is "eukaryotic LSU rRNA". The stretch from base 462 to 1047 matches the Rfam family "Eukaryotic large subunit ribosomal RNA", at positions 1 to 598 of the family's 3401-position model. Lineage: Eukaryota; Fungi. The record is from RNAcentral.
AUUACCGAGUUUACAACUCCCAAACCCCUGUGAACAUACCUAUUGUUGCCUCGGCGGAUCAGCCCGGCCCCGGUAAAACGGGACGGCCCGCCAGAGGACCCUAAACUCUGUUUUUAGUGUAACUUCUGAGUAAAACAAACAAAUAAAUCAAAACUUUCAACAACGGAUCUCUUGGUUCUGGCAUCGAUGAAGAACGCAGCAAAAUGCGAUAAGUAAUGUGAAUUGCAGAAUUCAGUGAAUCAUCGAAUCUUUGAACGCACAUUGCGCCCGCCAGUAUUCUGGCGGGCAUGCCUGUUCGAGCGUCAUUUCAACCCUCAAGCACAGCUUGGUGUUGGGAUUUGCGGAGUAAUUCGCAGUCCCCAAAUCUAUUGGCGGUCACGUCGAGCUUCCAUAGCGUAGUAAUUACACCUCGUUACUGGUAAUCGUCGCGGCCACGCCGUUAAACCCCAACUUCUGAAUGUUGACCUCGGAUCAGGUAGGAAUACCCGCUGAACUUAAGCAUAUCAAUAAGCGGAGGAAAAGAAACCAACAGGGAUUGCCCUAGUAACGGCGAGUGAAGCGGCAACAGCUCAAAUUUGAAAUCUGGCUCUCGGGCCCGAGUUGUAAUUUGUAGAGGAUGCUUUUGAUGCGGUGCCUUCCGAGUUCCCUGGAACGGGACGCCAUAGAGGGUGAGAGCCCCGUCUGGUUGGAUGCCAAAUCUCUGUAAAGCUCCUUCAACGAGUCGAGUAGUUUGGGAAUGCUGCUCUAAAUGGGAGGUAUAUGUCUUCUAAAGCUAAAUACCGGCCAGAGACCGAUAGCGCACAAGUAGAGUGAUCGAAAGAUGAAAAGCACUUUGAAAAGAGAGUUAAAAAGUACGUGAAAUUGUUGAAAGGGAAGCGUUUAUGACCAGACUUGGGCUUGUUUAAUCAUCCGGGCUUCUGCCCGGUGCACUUGUUCAGCCCAGGCCAGCAUCAUUUUUCGCCGGGGGAUAAAGGCGGCGGGAAUGUGGCUCUCUUCGGGGAGUGUUAUAGCCCAUCGUGUAAUACCCUGGCGGGGAAUGAGGUCGCG